This 346-nucleotide unclassified non-coding RNA is filed under the name uncultured fungus. RNAcentral's name for it is "partial contains ITS1, 5.8S rRNA and ITS2". The record is from RNAcentral. Lineage: Eukaryota; Fungi.
AACGCAUAUUGCGCUCUUUGGUAUUCCGAAGAGCAUGCUUGUUUGAGUAUCAGUAAACACCUCAAAGCUUUUGGAUUUUUUAAUCGAAAAGCUUUGGACUUGAGCAAUCCCAACACCAAUCUUUUUGAGAUCGGUGGCGGGUUGCUUGAAAUGCGGGUGCAGCUGGACAUUCUCCUGAGCUAAAAGCAUAUUCAUUUAGUCCCGUCAAACGGAUUAUUACUUUUGCUGCAGCUAACAUAAAGGGAGUUUGACCGUAUUGGCUGACUGAUGCAGGAUUUCACAAGGGUCGGCAACGAUUCUUGUUAAACUCGAUCUCAAAUCAAGUAAGACUACCCGCUGAACUUAA